UACGUAGGGUGCGAGCGUUAAUCGGAAUUACUGGGCGUAAAGCGCACGUAGGCGGAUUGUUAAGUCAGGGGUGAAAUCCCGAGGCUCAACCUCGGAACUGCCUUUGAUACUGGCAAUCUCGAGUCCGGAAGAGGUGAGUGGAAUUCCUAGUGUAGAGGUGAAAUUCGUAGAUAUUAGGAAGAACACCAGUGGCGAAGGCGGCUCACUGGUCCGGUACUGACGCUGAGGUGCGAAAGCGUGGGGAGCAAACAGG
This 253-nucleotide ribosomal RNA is filed under the name uncultured bacterium. Its description in RNAcentral is "partial 16S ribosomal RNA". It matches the Rfam family "Bacterial small subunit ribosomal RNA", at positions 524 to 776 of the family's 1533-position model. The record is from RNAcentral.